CUGAGGUGUAAAAAGGCUGAGACCGUUAAUUCGGGAUCCGCGGAACCUGAUCAGGCUAAUACCUGCGAAGGGAACAAGAGUAAU
This 84-nucleotide non-coding RNA is filed under the name Kosakonia cowanii. Lineage: Bacteria; Pseudomonadati; Pseudomonadota; Gammaproteobacteria; Enterobacterales; Enterobacteriaceae. The record is from RNAcentral.